UUUUGAAUGCGAUACCCCGGGAACUGGGACUAAUCCGCAAUAGAUCAUUGUUUCUGGAAGGAGCUUUGAUCCAAAGGGAUGGGUAAGUAUGUUUAUCCAUUCGCCCCAGGAUGGGACUGCGGCCGAUCAGGUUGUUGGUGGGGUAUUGGCCCACCAAGCCUAUAACCGGUACGGGCUUUGAGAGAAGGAGCCCGGAGAUGGACACUGAGAAAAGGGUCCAGGUCCUACGGGGCGCAGCAGGCGCGAAACCUUCGCAAUGCGCGAAAGCGCGACGAGGUUACUCCGAGUGUUACCCGCUGAGGGUAACUUUUGCUAGGUAUAAAUAACCUUGAGAAUAAGGGGAGGGCAAGUCUGGUGUCAGCCGCCGCGGUAAUACCAGCUCCCCGAGUGGUCGGGAUGUUUAUUGGGCCUAAAGCAUCCGUAGCCGGUCUUGUAGGUCUUCUGUUAAAUCCAACGGCUCAACCGUUGGGCUGCAGGAGAUACCGCAGGACUAGGAGGCGGGAGAGGUGGAUGGUACUCAAUGUGUAGGGGUAAAAUCCUUUGAUCCAUUGAAGACCACCAGUGGCGAAGGCGGUCCACCAGAACGCGCUCGACGGUGAGGGAUGAAAGCUGGGGGAGCGAACCGGAUUAGAUACCCGGGUAGUCCCAGCUGUAAACGAUGCGAGCUAGGUGAUGGGGUGGCUACGAGCCAUCCCGGUGCCCCAGGGAAGCCGUUAAGCUCGCCGCCUGGGAAGUACGGCCGCAAGGCUGAAACUUAAAGGAAUUGGCGGGGGAGCAC
RNAcentral lists this ribosomal RNA (778 nucleotides) under uncultured archaeon. Its description in RNAcentral is "bacterial SSU rRNA". It matches the Rfam family "Archaeal small subunit ribosomal RNA", at positions 114 to 879 of the family's 1478-position model. The record is from RNAcentral.